Molecule: ribosomal RNA, 2179 nt
Filed under: Niphargus slovenicus
Lineage: Eukaryota; Metazoa; Arthropoda; Malacostraca; Amphipoda; Niphargidae
Description: eukaryotic LSU rRNA
Source: RNAcentral
UAGGUGACCUGCGGAAGGAUCAUUAACGAUUGCUAAACAUGCAAAGACAAAACGAACUGGAUUGAAUACUAAAACUCCUGACGAGUUCAGGAAGGAUGAUGCUUUUCUUUCUCUCGCGCAAGCGAAGAAAUAGCCAUCGUGGUUGUUGCGCUCUGCGCUGCGAACGAUGUAAAACAAACAACCGAUGGCCUCUCAUACAGUAUAAUAUCUCUCGCCAUGGCAUACAGGCCUGGCAUCUGGUACGAGUCUCUUGCAGUCUCAAAACCAACCUUACAACUCUGAGCGGUGGAUCACUUGGCUUGUGGAUGCUAUGAAGACCAUAGCUAAGUGUGAGAAUGGCAGCGAGCCGUCGCUAUAUGCGCUGUCCUCUUCUUAUCACAUGUCGAAUGCACAUUGCGCCCCACCCAGUGGUCGGCUAAACAACCUGCAGACAAAAGCCUGAGAGUUGCAACAAAGGCAAGUGUGUGGCCCUCGAGCAACGGCGGGGGAGCCAGGAGCACAUGAGCGUGCGGAACAACUCCUCGUGAGUAGUCAGGCUUGACCCUAUGGUGGGGCACUCCUAGUCGAGUGUGGUGGAUCGGACUCACAUCUCUUGUUGCGCGUUCGCGUGCGAUGGAGUUUGAGUUUCUUUGUUGCUGGUGGCAUUUGGGUCGACAUCAGUCGUGCCCGUAAAUAACUGCCUUGGCUCGUGCCUCUGUGUGUGUGUCCCUCUCGCAGGAGCGCGCGCACAUUGAAGGCCAUAGCUGGCGAUCACUCUUGCGGCCAGGGCACUACUGCGGUAGUGCGCACAGGUCCAAAAGGAACUGGAAAUACGAGAGUCGGGUUUCUAAACUCUGGCCGGUUUCCGCACAAUGUGCGGAGUGACGAUCACAUGAUUGUUGAGGUCCCUGCAUAUCCGCUUCUCUGGUAAAGGCUCAGUCCAAGCCCCACCUCUUUUGAAUGCACACAUUCCAGCAGACAGAGCCUCGCCUGACGAGAUCGGGAAGGAUGAUCUGAGGAUGUGUGUCAAAAGUAACAGAUUGGCCGGCAGUCUCGCAUCACACCUGUAUCAGGAGUGGUGAUCAUGUUGAUUCUUGAGGUCCCUGCGUAUCCGCUUCUCUGGUAAAAGCUCGUWCUUCUCGUAGUAUUCGAGAAUGACACAAGCYUUACCACUUUUGUUCGCACACAUGAGGACAAGGAAAGGGAGAAACGCCUGACGAGAUCAGGAAAAAGUGUGUGUCAAAAGUAAAAGAUUGGCCGGCAGUCUCGCGUCACUCAGCUUGUUGUACUUCGUCAAGUGGUGAUCACAUGAUUGUUGAGGUCCCUGCGUAUCCGCUUCUCUGGUAAGGGCUCGCCCAUGCCCCCACCUCUUUUGUAUGCACACACACCAGGCAGAGCCUCGCCUGACGAGAUCGGGAAGGAUGGUCUGGGAGUGUGUAUCAAAAGUAACAGAUUGGCCGGCAGUCUCGCAUCACAUCCGCAUGAGGAGUGGUGAUCAUGUUGGUUAUCUAGGGCCCUGCGUUAACCGCUUCUCUGGUAAAGGCCKGUGUUUCUCGUAGUAUUCGAGAAUGACACAAGCCUUACCACUUUUGUUCGCACACACGAGGGCAAGGAAGGGAAUAACGCCUGACGAGAUCAGGAAAAAGUGUGUGUAAAAAGUAAAGGAGGGGCCGGCAGCCUUGCAUCACUUUGCACGUUGUACUUCCGUGUGGAAGAAUACGGAUGAAUGAGAGAGAUCUGGCUGCUUGUUGUUUGCAAAUGCCACCACCUCGACUUAGGAGAGGUUACCCGCUGAACUUAAGCAUAUCAGUAAGCGGAGGAAAAGAAACCAAUCAGGGAUUCCCUUAGUAGGGGCGACCGAACAGGGAUGAGCCCAGCGCAGAACCUCCCGGGCCACCCGGCCUGCGGCGGAAUGUUGCGUUAAGGGAAAGGUCGUAGUCAAACCCCACAGCCACGCGAGCUCUAAGUAAGUCACGAAUUGGCUAUCCCAACUAACGGCGGGAAAAUCUCCACGGAGGGUGUAAGACCCGUGUGGGCGCGUGUAAAUGCUGUGUGGGCUCGGCCUCUUUUCCCUGAGAGUCGCGUUGCUUGAGCAUGCAGCGCUAAGCAGGUCGUAAACUCGAUCUAAGGCUAAAUAUGUCCACAAGACCGAUAGCGAACAAGUACCGUGAGGGAAAGUUGAAAAGCACUCUGAAGAGAG